Molecule: small RNA, 1332 nt
Filed under: Pongo abelii (Sumatran orangutan)
Lineage: Eukaryota; Metazoa; Chordata; Mammalia; Primates; Hominidae
Description: retained intron
Source: RNAcentral
GUCAGCCGCAUAUUCUUUUGCAUCGCCAGCCGAGCUACAUCGCUGAGACACCAUGGGGAAGGUGAAGGUUGGAAUCAACGGAUUUGGUCGUAUCGGGCGCCUGGUCACCAGGGCUGCUUUUAACUCUGGUAAAGUGGAUAUUGUUGCCAUCAAUGACCCCUUCAUUGACCUCAACUACAUGGUUUACAUGUUCCAGUAUGAUUCCACCCAUGGCAAAUUCCAUGGCACCGUCAAGGCUGAGAACGGGAAGCUUGUCAUCAAUGGAAAUCCCAUCACCAUCUUCCAGGAGUGAGUGGAAGACAGAAUGGAAGAAAUAUGCUUUGGGGAGGCAACUAGGAUGGUGUGGCUCCCUUGGGUCUAUGGUAAGCUCAUGUCCCUCAAUAUGGUCCUGUCCCCGUCUCCCCCCACCCCCAUAGGCGAGAUCCCUCCAAAAUCAAGUGGGGCGAUGCUGGCGCUGAGUACGUCGUGGAGUCCACUGGCGUCUUCACCACCAUGGAGAAGGCUGGGGCUCAUUUGCAGGGGGGAGCCAAAAGGGUCAUCAUUUCUGCCCCCUCUGCUGACGCCCCCAUGUUCGUCAUGGGUGUGAACCAUGAGAAGUACGACAACAGCCUCAAGAUCGUCAGCAAUGCCUCCUGCACCACCAACUGCUUAGCACCCCUGGCCAAGGUUAUCCAUGACAACUUUGGUAUCGUGGAAGGACUCAUGACCACGGUCCAUGCCAUCACUGCCACCCAGAAGACUGUGGAUGGCCCCUCCGGGAAACUGUGGCGUGAUGGCCGCGGGGCUCUCCAGAACAUCAUCCCUGCCUCUACUGGCGCUGCCAAGGCUGUGGGCAAGGUCAUCCCUGAGCUGAACGGGAAGCUCACUGGCAUGGCCUUCCGUGUCCCCACUGCCAAUGUGUCAGUGGUGGACCUGACCUGCCGUCUAGAAAAAGCUGCCAAAUAUGAUGACAUCAAGAAGGUGGUGAAGCAGGCGUCGGAGGGCCCCCUCAAGGGCAUCCUGGGCUACACUGAGCACCAGGUGGUCUCCUCCGACUUCAACAGCGACACCCACUCCUCCACCUUCGAUGCUGGGGCUGGCAUUGCCCUCAACGACCACUUUGUCAAGCUCAUUUCCUGGUAUGACAACGAAUUUGGCUACAGCAACAGGGUGGUGGACCUCAUGGCCCACAUGGCUUCCAAGGAGUAAGAGCCCUGGACCACCAGCCCCAGCGAGAGCACGAGAGGAAGAGACAGACCCUCACUGCUGGGGAGUCCCUGCCACACUCAGUCCCCCACCACACUGAAUCUCCCUUCCUCACAGUUUCCAUGUAGACCCCUUGAAGAGGGGAGG